Molecule: ribosomal RNA, 1383 nt
Filed under: metagenome
Description: bacterial SSU rRNA
Rfam family: Archaeal small subunit ribosomal RNA
Source: RNAcentral
UAUCCGAAUACGACUAAGCUAUGCGAGUCUUGGGUUAAACCAAGGCGAACUGCUCAGUAACACGUAGUUAACAUGCCCUUAGGUUUUGUCUAAUCCCGGGAAACUGGGGCCGAGGACAAGAUAGGUAAGAGGUGCUGGAAUGCUCUUUUACUGAACUAAGGAUUGGACUGCGACUUAUCAGGCUGUUGCCAGUGUAAAGUACUGGCAAACCGAUAACGAGUACGGGCCUUGAGAGAGGAAGCCCGGAGAUGGAUUCUGAGACAUUAAUCCAGGGUCUACGGACUGCAGCAAGCGCGAAAACUUCUCAAUGCACGAAAGUGUGAAGAGGGGAUUCGGAGUGCUUCGGUUUUUACUGAAGCUUUUGCCAAGUUUAGAAAAUUUGGCGAAUAAGGGGUGGGCAAUACGGGUGCCAGCCGCCGCGGUAAUACCCGAGCCCCAAGUCGUGACCGCGUUUAUUGGGCUUAAAGGGUUCGUAGCCGGCCUUAUAAGUUCUUAGUGAAAUACCACAGCUAACUGUGGUGCUUGCUAGGGGUACUGUAAGGCUUGAGACCGGGAGAGGUUAAGAGUACUGCAAGGGUAGGGGUAAAAUCCUAUAAUCCUUGCGGGACUACCUGUGGCGAAGGCGCUUAACUGGAACGGAUCUGACGGUGAGGGACGAAAGCUAGGGGAGCAAAUGGGAUUAGAUACCCCAGUAGUCCUAGCUGUAAACGAUGCCCACUAGUCGUGAGAAAGUUCAAGGGAUUUUCUCAUGUCGUAGGGAAACCGUUAAGUGGGCCACCUGGGGAGUACGGCCGCAAGACUGAAACUUAAGGGAAUUGGCGGGGGAGCACACAAGGGGUGGAGGCUGCGGUUUAAUUCGAUUCAACACGAGAAACCUUACUAGCGGCGACAGCAGAAUGAAGGUCAGUCUAGAGGGCUUACCAGACACGCUGAGAAGUGCUGCAUGGCCGUCGUCAGUUCGUGCCGUGAGGUGUCGCGUUAAGUCGCGUAACGAACAAGACCCGCACUUUAUGUUGCUAAACAGAAAUGUUGCACACAUAAGGGACUGCCCGCGCUAAGUGGGAGGAAGGAGCGGUCGACGACAGGUCCGUAUGGUCUGAAUCCGCUAGGCUACACGCGGCCUACAAUGGUUGGGACAAUGGGAUGUGACUCCGUAAGGGGGAACCAAUCCUCAAACCCAAUCUCAGUCCAGAUCGAGGGCUGUAACUCGCCCUCGUGAAGUCGAAAUCCCUAGUAGUCGCUUGUCAUCAUCCAGCGGCGAAUACGUUCCUGCUCCUUGCACACACUGCCCGUCAAGCCAUCCGAGUGAAUCUCUGGCGAGCUUCCAGUUCUUGCUGGAAUCAAGUCAGAGUUUUGUGAGGAGGGCUAAGUCGUAACAAGGUA